RNAcentral lists this long non-coding RNA (343 nucleotides) under Carica papaya (papaya). RNAcentral's name for it is "long non-coding RNA (CPAP_LNC011895)". Lineage: Eukaryota; Viridiplantae; Streptophyta; Magnoliopsida; Brassicales; Caricaceae. The record is from RNAcentral.
CAAAUGUAGUUUUCGCAUACUGCACGUGUCUUCCAUCUUUGCGCCGGGCUAUAGACACCUCUUUGUGCUUCGUCAUUGAUUACGUUGCUUACCCAAUCCUGGACAAGCAAAUUGAAAACUCCUUGAAGUUUGCAGGCCCGACUUCGAGUGAUUGGGCCUACGGGCAAUUGGGCCAUCUUCCCCAUUGGAACUAAUUUGUAGACUUUAGCAUCCUGCGCUACCUCUUCCUUUAUCGGGAUAUCCUUCGUGAUGGCUAAUGCAUCAAACAUGCUUUAGAAUUAACCCACCAAUCUUAACUCAGAUUUCGUUAUCAAAAUUGAUAUCUAGAUAAGUUUAGGGGGAU